Molecule: ribosomal RNA, 259 nt
Filed under: uncultured bacterium
Lineage: Bacteria
Description: partial 16S ribosomal RNA
Rfam family: Bacterial small subunit ribosomal RNA
Source: RNAcentral
UACGUAGGGUGCAAGCGUUGUCCGGAAUUAUUGGGCGUAAAGAGCUCGUAGGCGGUUCGUCGCGUCGGCUGUGAAAUCCCGGAGCUCAACUCCGGGUCUGCAGUCGAUACGGGCGGACUCGAGUUCGGCAGGGGAGACGUGGAAUUCCUGGUGUAGCGGUGAAAUGCGCAGAUAUCAGGAGGAACACCGGCGGCGAAGGCGGGGUCUCUGGGGCCGGAUACUGACGCUGAGGAGCGAAAGCGUGGGGGGAGCGAACAGG